Girardinichthys multiradiatus is the source of this 720-nucleotide long non-coding RNA. RefSeq lists it as uncharacterized. The transcript is spliced from 3 exons. The record is from RefSeq and is a predicted model, not a curated record. NCBI's taxonomy places the organism in Eukaryota, Metazoa, Chordata, Actinopteri, Cyprinodontiformes, Goodeidae.
UCAAAAUUUACUCCGACUACCAGACCCAUGGCAAAAAAUUUAACAAAACCCCCGGUCCAAAGAGUGAAAGGGUGAGGGAAGAGUCAGCAAAUGAAUGACACAAGAAACUACAAAAGAAAAGCCAUGGCUAUAGAUCUGACAACAGCUCAACAUACAGUGAAGAACUGGGACAAAUACAUGACACAGAAGAGAAGACAUAAAAGCGGGCGAGGACUCAUCCUAGGAAUAACGUGAGAUGCCAACUUGGGACAUAAGACAGAGGGGUGACUUUGAAAGAGGAAGAUGGGAAGCCGUCAGCGUUUUUCCCUUAUCUCCAAGGAGGGGAAACUUUUGCGCUGAAGUAACCCUCCGGGGAGGAGCAGCAUCAGUGAACUGAGUUCCUCUCCUCUGCUAUGACCCUUCCUUUGAGUCUUCAUCAUUUCAUUAACUCCUGGCUGGUAGCCGGAGUAGCUCCCAUUAUCUUUACACAUGCAGAAUGGGAACUAAAGCUGGAGGAUGGACUUUGUAAUUAUGCGCUUUUUAAACAAGGUCAGCAUGCUGACUCUGAACCUCACAUCCAAUGGUUGCUCCAGAACAGCCAGAUUUCAUUGGUGCAACCACAUGAGCACACAAAGUGUGAAGGAUGUACUUUUCUUUUUUCACUGAACACAAUUAAAAAUCUCAUUUACGUGUAGAAAAUGUGCAGAAAUGGUAAGAACAAUAAAACCCAAUCAAUGAGUU